GCGGUUGUGGCGGAACUGGCAGACGCACUAUCUUGAGGGGGUAGCGAGCCACGCUCAUGUGGGUUCAAGUCCCACCAACCGCACCA
Molecule: transfer RNA, 86 nt
Filed under: Clostridiaceae bacterium
Lineage: Bacteria; Bacillati; Bacillota; Clostridia; Eubacteriales; Clostridiaceae
Description: tRNA-Leu
Rfam family: tRNA
About the family: Transfer RNA (tRNA) molecules are approximately 80 nucleotides in length.
Source: RNAcentral